Molecule: ribosomal RNA, 496 nt
Filed under: uncultured bacterium
Lineage: Bacteria
Description: bacterial SSU rRNA
Rfam family: Bacterial small subunit ribosomal RNA
Source: RNAcentral
GACGAACGCUGGCGGCGUGCCUAAUACAUGCAAGUCGAGCGGACAGAUGGGAGCUUGCUCCCUGAAGUCAGCGGCGGACGGGUGAGUAACACGUGGGCAACCUGCCUGUAAGACUGGGAUAACUUCGGGAAACCGGAGCUAAUACCGGAUAACCCUUUUCCUUUCAUGAGGAAAAGCUGAAAGACGGUUUCGGCUGUCACUUACAGAUGGGCCCGCGGCGCAUUAGCUAGUUGGUGAGGUAACGGCUCACCAAGGCGACGAUGCGUAGCCGACCUGAGAGGGUGAUCGGCCACACUGGGACUGAGACACGGCCCAGACUCCUACGGGAGGCAGCAGUAGGGAAUCUUCCGCAAUGGACGAAAGUCUGACGGAGCAACGCCGCGUGAGUGAUGAAGGCCUUCGGGUCGUAAAGCUCUGUUGUUAGGGAAGAACAAGUAUCGGAGUAACUGCCGGUACCUUGACGGUACCUAACCAGAAAGCCACGGCUAACUACGUG